This 691-nucleotide long non-coding RNA is filed under the name Homo sapiens (human). RNAcentral's name for it is "HSALNT0086625". Lineage: Eukaryota; Metazoa; Chordata; Mammalia; Primates; Hominidae. The record is from RNAcentral.
CCGGGAGUUACACACCAACGAAUUUCUAAAGAAAGCCUAACAAAAAGGCAAAUAAAGCAAGAGGAUUCUCACAGACUCACUGCUGCAGGGCUUUAAAAUCUCAGCCUCAUCUAUUGAACACUAGCCCAGCUUCCCUCAACCCCUCAAAGCAGCAAGAUUUAUGCAAGCCUCCUGUGACAGCAGAGCUUCUGUCCCAUCAGUAGCCUUAUCAAAUCUGUCCUAUAGCCCCAUCAGACCUGAGCGAACACCUGCUUUCCAGGAUGCUGAAAGAAAAAACAGCCGUCUAGUGAGCAGGAAGCCCCAAGUCACAGGCUCAGCCUGGGGGAUCUGAAAGCUAAAAGAAGCCGAAGACCCUGAUGGCUCUGGAGAAGUCACAAGACAGCCCUGAAUGCUCUUGCAGCCUCCUGUCAUGUCAUAAGACCCCCAUUUCAAGAGGGUCCUGCUGCAUACCCAGAAGGAAGGAAUACUGCACAGAGAAGCUAAGAGGAAUUUAAACAGACAGACCUUGCUGGACUUUCCUACUCAGUCUAUUAACAUUAGAUCAUACCCUUUCUGCCCAGUUAUUUUUCUCCAUGGCUGUCCGUACUUCAUUGAACCCAAGCCUAAAAAUGGGCAGUUUCCCCGUAUCUUUGGGUCUUUAUUCUGAAGGCUCCGUGUAAAACUGUAAUCAAAUAAAUCUGUAUACCUUUUC